UACAACAGUUUAUAGUCACUUCAGGGUCAGGACACAGGUUGAACAUCACGGCGGAGAAUGACUGCCGGCGGCUGCACUGCUCCCUGAGAGACUUGAGCUCCCUGCUGCAGGCCGUGGGCCGCCUGGCCGAGUACUUUAUCGGGGAUGUGUUUGCUGCACGGUUCAAUGAUGCCCUCACAGUCGUGGAGAGGUUGGUCAAAGUCACUCUGUACGGAUCUCAGAUAAAAUUGUACAACAUUGAAACUGCUGUGCCAUCAGUAUUGAAACCUGACCUCAUUGAUGUGCAUGCUCAGUCCCUGGCUGCGCUGCAGGCUUACUCUCACUGGUUAGCACAGUAUUGCAGUGAAGUUCACCGGCAGAACACGCAGCAGUUCGUGACACUCAUCUCUACUACCAUGGAUGCAAUCACACCUCUAAUCAGCACCAAGGUCUCGAAACAGCAAAGCCUACACCUUUUAUCUAACUCUCUGUCUCUCCUUCUGUUCCUAUACCCAUUUACUAGAAAAUCUAAAUAUGACACAGAGUUAGACCCAUAAAUCUUUCUGCUGUUAUACACCUGUUUUAUUUCAUGUUCUUUUUUAGUUGUAGCCUACAUGCAUUCAAAUACAACUUUACUUUUUUAGUUAUCUAAAUUCCACAUGAAUACAUGCUCACUGUGAAAAAGUAAAAUAUCGUUCAGAUUUCCAGACUAAAAAGUUGUGAUACCUCU
Molecule: small RNA, 709 nt
Filed under: Pongo abelii (Sumatran orangutan)
Lineage: Eukaryota; Metazoa; Chordata; Mammalia; Primates; Hominidae
Description: retained intron
Source: RNAcentral